This is a long non-coding RNA of Rhinopithecus roxellana (golden snub-nosed monkey), 1492 nucleotides long. RefSeq lists it as uncharacterized. The transcript has 3 exons. The record is from RefSeq and is a predicted model, not a curated record. Lineage: Eukaryota; Metazoa; Chordata; Mammalia; Primates; Cercopithecidae.
CUUGGCCUCCCAAAGUGCUGGGAUUACAGGCGUGAGCCACUGCUCUGGGUCCCUUCUGUCUUCUCUUGCCAUCUUUCCCUGGGCUUCUAGUUCCAUGUGGCUGACACGGGCCACAGCCUGGCCUCUCAGUUCCUUGUCACUCUCACCUGCAGCAGGCUUUUCCUCUACCUUAGCUCAGCCCCCACCACGAGGGCACCAGAGCUGCCUUGACUUGCAAACACCCGCUCUCUGACCUCCACCUUUGACUCUUUCUACUCCCUUAGUCUUCAACGUUUGGACCAAGCCAGCCUGUUGAACUCACCACUUGUAUACCAUCUUGCUUUUCCCGUCUUGCCUUUUCUCCUUACCUAGGUUAGAGCUAUCAUUUUAAUCUUGUUCCUACAAACACUUUCUGUUCCCUGGCCCCUGUCUCCCAUCAUCUGGCACAAAACCCAUUCUAGUGGAACCCAGCUCUCCUCCGGCUUGGGAACCAUUGAGUAUGGCAGGAGAGAAAUCACAUAACUGAUGCCAUAUUUUCCCUUGUAAAUUCAUAGCCACAAAUCUCAAAUAAGCAUUUUCCAUGAUCCCCUGCAAUUCCACUACUGGUUAGUAACGUUUCCACUCUCACCUCGACCUCUCCCCAUUGUUAUUCUCACCUUCGGGCCUGGCCUUACACAUCGUUGAAAUGAUAGAUGUUGUCCUACAGGACACCUCAUGUUCCUACCUCCAAAUCCCCCAGCCUUCUGCACCUGUGCCUGUGUCCUCACUGCCUCCCCACCUGUGACAGUGGCAGAACAGUCCCUGCUCAUGGGGACCCCCACCUCUGCUCUGGAUCCCAUUCUCCCUGACCUCUGAAAGCAUUUGCUCCUUCAUCUGUCACCUCUCUCCAGCGUCAUUAUGGAAAAUCCUCUGUCUUAACACAAAGCAGCCCUCUCGACCCCACUUCCCUGUUCAUUUCUCUGCCCUCCUUCAAAGCACAAUUUCUCGGGAAUUACCAUACUCCCUAUUUCCUUUCUCACUUCUGCUUCAUUGCUUAACCCUUCCCAGUCCAGCUUCAUCCCUACCAUGCUGCUAAAACUGCCUUUUCAAAGGUUACUUACAGCUUUGGCCUUGCCAGAUCUGCUGCUGUGCUGUUCUCCUGUGCUUCCUUCUCAGCACGGCUCCCUGCCCUCUGUUUUGAAGCAUUCUUCUCCCUUGUAGGGAUCCAAUUUCAGUCUUUCCCGAAAUAGAUAACCACCGUUCCCUGUACCAUUUAUUGAGAAAUACAUCAUCUCCUCACUCCCCAGCAGCACUAGCGCCCUCACCUAGUCCCCAGGUAAUGCUGGUCUCCUGGGAUGAGUUAGGAAGUAUCCCCUCAUCUUCAGUUAUUUAGAAGAAUUUCAGGAUUGGUGUUAAUUGGUCUUUAAAUGUUUGGUGGAAUUUCGAAGCCAUCUGGUCCUGGACAUUUCUUUGGGUCUGGCUGUGUCACCCAGGUUGGAAUGUGGUGGCGUGAUCUCAGCUCACUGCAACCUCU